Molecule: long non-coding RNA, 530 nt
Organism: Canis lupus familiaris (dog)
Lineage: Eukaryota; Metazoa; Chordata; Mammalia; Carnivora; Canidae
Exons: 2
Source: RefSeq, a predicted model, not a curated record
GGCGGGGGAGGGCGGAGGGACCGCGAGACCGGCGCCCGCGGGAAGCGGGGAGCGGGGCGGCCUGCGGCCGGGCUCCGGGAGGCCGAGGGCAUCAGCGGGCCGGAGCGAACCCCCCGAGACACGGCAUAGGAGCCCGAGGCGCUCAGAAGGCGGGCUGCAGACUUCUGUCGGGGUCUUUGGUUUGAGCCCUGACUUCGGCCGUACACGUAUUUCCCCGCAAGGACGGCGCCUCUCAGCCUUUGCUGAAGUUGGGGGUUGGACUUCAUUAUCAUUAUCCUGUUGAGGGGCCACUGUACAGAAGUACUGGUUGACCUGCGCCGGGCGCCGUGGAGACUGCCGUGACGUGGAACCUGGGGGAGGGGAGGGAGGGCUUAGAGACGCCAGGGGUCUGUCCCGUACCCACCUGCAGUGUUGAAGGUGGAGGUGAAAAAUCUGGCUUUGAUAUCUUCAUGGAGGACUACAUUAUUUCAAUCCUGAAUCUGGUUUAGUUUUCUUACUGAUUUAUUACUAUAUUAAAAAUGUUUAAUUAA